Molecule: ribosomal RNA, 1869 nt
Filed under: human gut metagenome
Description: bacterial LSU rRNA
Rfam family: Bacterial large subunit ribosomal RNA
Source: RNAcentral
GGCAAAGGAUGUGCGUCCGCCCAGACAACCAGGAUGUUGGCUUAGAAGCAGCCAUCCAUUCAAAGAGUGCGUAACAGCUCACUGGUCGAGUGGACAUGCGCCGACAAUACACGGGGCUAAGCUGGACACCGAAGCGGCGGGAUUUUAAUUCAUUAGAAUCGGUAGGGGAGCUUCCCAUGGGCGGAGAAGCCGGAGGGCGACCGACGGUGGAGCGCAUGGGAGUGAGAAUGCUGGCAUGAGUAGCGAGAGACGAGAGAGUAACUCGUCCGCCGUGAACCCGAGGUUUCCUGGGCAAGGCUAAUCCUCCCAGGGUCAGUCGGGGGCUAAGGCGAGGCCGGGAGGCGUAGCCGACGCGCAGCAGGCAGACAUUCCUGCACCGCGCACGCGGCGCUACGACCGACGGGGCGACGGAUGGGGGUGGCUCGGCGGGGUUCUGGACGUCCCCGUGAUGGAGCGCGGCCCGCGGACCAGGGAAAUCCGGUCCGCACGAGGGCGAGGCUCCGGACGAAGCACUUAAGCGAAGCGAGUGAGCCCGAGGUCCCUAGAAAAACCCCUAGGCAGGCGCGUGCGCGCCCGUACCGCAAACCGACACAGGUGGGUGGGUAGAACAUACCGAGGCGAUCGGGUCAACCAUGGUCAAGGAACUCGGCACAAUGGCCCCGUAACUUCGGGAGAAGGGGUGCCCGCGCGUACGUGAACGGACUUGCUCCGGGAGCGGAGGCGGGCCGCAGUGGAGAGGCCCAAGCGACUGUUUACCAAAAACACAGGACUCUGCAGAAGCCGCAAGGCGACGUAUAGGGUCUGACGCCUGCCCGGUGCCGGAAGGUCACGCGGAGGAGUUAGCGCAUCGCGCGAAGCCCCGAAGCCAAGCCCCGGUAAACGGCGGCCGUAACUAUAACGGUCCUAAGGUAGCGAAAUUCCUUGUCGGGUAAGUUCCGACCUGCACGAAAGGCGCAACGACUUGGGCGCUGUCUCGACCAUGGACCCGGUGAAAUUGCACUGGUCGUGAAGAUGCGACUUACCCGCGGAAGGACGGAAAGACCCCGUGAACCUUCACUGCAGCUUGGCAUUGGCCGCUGGUCCCGCGUGUAGAGGAUAGGCAGGAGGCUAAGAUCCGGAGGCGCCAGCCCCCGGGGAGCCGCCCUUGGAAUACUGCCCUCGCGCGACCGGCGUCCUAACCCGAGGCCGUCAACCGGCUCGGGGACCGUGCCAGGCGGGCAGUUUGACUGGGGCGGUCGCCUCCUAAAGGGUAACGGAGGCGCGCGAAGGUCCGCUCGGGACGGUCGGCAACCGUCCUUUUGAAUGCAAGAGUACAAGCGGGCUUGACUGCGAGGCCCACAAGCCGAGCAGGUGCGAAAGCAGGCUCUAGUGAUCCGGCGGCCCCGAGUGGGUGGGCCGUCGCUCAACGGAUAAAAGGUACUCCGGGGAUAACAGGCUGAUCUUGCCCAAGAGUCCACAUCGACGGCAAGGUUUGGCACCUCGAUGUCGGCUCAUCGCAUCCUGGGGCUGGAGUCGGUCCCAAGGGUUGGGCUGUUCGCCCAUUAAAGCGGUACGCGAGCUGGGUUCAGAACGUCGUGAGACAGUUCGGUCCCUAUCCUCCGUGGGCGCAGGAGAAUCGAUGGAGGCUGCCCCCAGUACGAGAGGACCGGGGUGGACGCACCUCCGGUGAACCGGUUGUCGACCAACGGCACGGCCGGGUAGCCGCGUGCGGCGCGGAUAACCGCUGAAGGCAUCUAAGCGGGAAGCCGUUCCAGGGAUUAGUUCUCCUUCCGGUAAGGGCCCAGGUAGACUACCUGGUCGAUAGACGGCAGGUGCAAGGACGGCGACGUCCUCAGCCGAGCCGCACUAAUCGCCCGAGCUCUUCCGGAA